This 491-nucleotide ribosomal RNA is filed under the name uncultured bacterium. RNAcentral describes it as "partial 16S ribosomal RNA". It matches the Rfam family "Bacterial small subunit ribosomal RNA", at positions 29 to 506 of the family's 1533-position model. The record is from RNAcentral.
AGUGAACACUGGCGGUAGACCUAACACAUGCAAGUCGAACGGCAGCACAGUAAGAGCUUGCUCUUACGGGUGGCGAGUGGCGGACGGGUGAGGAAUACAUCGGAAUCUACUUUUUCGUGGGGGAUAACGUAGGGAAACUUACGCUAAUACCGCAUACGACCUACGGGUGAAAGCAUGGGAUCUUCGGACCUUGCGCGAUUGAAUGAGCCGAUGUCGGAUUAGCUAGUUGGCGGGGUAAAGGCCCACCAAGGCGACGAUCCGUAGCUGGUCUGAGAGGAUGAUCAGCCACACUGGAACUGAGACACGGUCCAGACUCCUACGGGAGGCAGCAGUGGGGAAUAGUGGACAAUGGGCGCAAGCCUGAUCCAGCCAUACCGCGUGGGUGAAGAAGGCCUUCGGGUUGUAAAGCCCUUUUGUUGGGAAAGAAAAGCAGCAGGUUAAUACCCCGCUGUUCUGACGGUACCCAAAGAAUAAGCACCGGCUAACUUCGU